This 2042-nucleotide ribosomal RNA is filed under the name Triticum aestivum (bread wheat). RNAcentral describes it as "partial small subunit ribosomal RNA". The record is from RNAcentral. Lineage: Eukaryota; Viridiplantae; Streptophyta; Magnoliopsida; Poales; Poaceae.
CGGCACCAGACGGGUAGCACGAUCUCGAGGUACAGGGGGCCAGGAGCGCCGGGGCGGGGGUAAUGGAGUCGGGAGAGGGGCUAGGUUAGAGAGAGGGCUUUUUAGCGGUAGCGGCCGGAUGGUGAGGAGGAGAAGACGGGGUACCCGCGAUCGCUUACCCUCGGUUGGUGGGCUUCGCUGGCCUCGCUGCUCGCCUCCUCCUUCCCUUUCUACCGCCCCGCCGCCGCCCCUUCCUCAGCAACGCCCGCCGCCCGUAGGACUAGUUCGUGCUCCCCAGGGCCGCGUCCCGCAGGACCUUCUUGGGGCUCCCAGCUCAGUAGAGGCGGUGGUGCCGGUGGCGCGCGGAGCCGCUCGAGGCGCUGAUUAGGAGCGGCCAGCGCGAAGGAAACGCCUGGAGCUUCGGCGGCAGGGCCAUCUAGCACGACGUGGUAGAGGAAAGCGUAGCUCGCGGCGGCAGGGCAUAGGAUAGAGGGACUGGGCUGGGUACGGUGUAGAGGAUAGGAAAGAGAGAGGGGAUAGCUUGGACACGGCCACACGCGCGUAGAGGGCGGUCGCGUACACCGCGGUACGGUAGUACCACUGUCUACUCCAGCCCGGGGCCACGUUUCUUACCGGUGUCAACGCGUCAGGGUACAACCACCGGCAGCGGACGCCUCAUAUCGUCUCCUCGCACACCUAGUCCCUUCGCCCGCCUCAAAGCCGUCGUGACGUCGGCAGCAAGAGACUGGACAAGAGCCUUGCACAAUUGGACGAAAGACUAGAUUGACUGCUACGUUCAUCAGUAAAUUGACGUCCAGUCGUGUAUAGAUACAGGUAAAUUGACCACCGCGUGACCAGGAGGACCCGUCGUAGCGUCAGCCACUGGGACGGCUCACCGCACCACCUCGCCGGGAACCGGCCGAUCGUGUAGUGCUCGCCGACACCGCACACUUUAGGAAUUCCUAACAUUGGCAGUCCCCUUAUCUAUUCUCUGGUACAGACAAACUGGAAAACCAUGACACAAAAUAUGUCUUACCGUUCCUAUCCGGUUUUUAGUACCUAUACAAUAUAUCAGGAACAAGUAUGAACCCCUGAGGUCAUACUACCUAACACGAACGAUUGCUAUGAUAAGAAAGAACAUAACGUCUAAUAGUUCUGUAAGGACUAGUGUAAUUUGGUCGUAUCAUUCGAUAGUCUAAAGAAUCAAUGUGACUGCAUUCAUGUUGAUAACCAGUAUGAAGCGGGUACCUCAACCUACUUCGUCCAAUGUGACCACCGUCUCUAGAGUAUCGUACACACGUGCCAUGGUGGGUAUCACUUAGUAGUCAUUGAUUCCGUCGGUCUGGGUGGUCUAAAGUCUCUUUCCAUGUUUUGUUUGGAUAUUCGUACGAUUUCCGUAGUUACCUAUAUAUAUGCUCCAUACUUGUACUGUUAACUACUUCCGGCACUACCACCAUAUACGUGUGCACCCUCAACCGAAUAACUAGAGGGUCGUUAACCCUUACUAUUUACCACUUCCGAAAAUACGUUCAAGACAGGAAUCAUCCAUGAAUUUAUAGCACUAGUAACACAACAGGGAAGGAUUGUUAAGACGUAGUAUAGCUAACCGUAAUACGUCGGUAGGAGUACCUAUACUCACUUCUUCCUAAGAUGAUUUGAACAGCUCGACUACGUAUACUUCUGUUUCAUAAUUCAUCCUAAAGCAAAACUCUUAGAAAAAAAAAUAGGCUAGAUGUGUAGACCUUGUAAGGGCUCGAAGGAAGAGUGUACUUAUAGUAUAUAGAUAUCCAUUGUCGUAUAAACACUUGGCAUCACUAUCUUUAACUAGUACCCUCUGAUCGUACGAUAGUGUUCAACUACAAUUUUUCUUUUCGUCACCGUUCCUUUUGAAUAAAACAAACGACAAACACAUACAUUGGACUUGCGAUUUACUACAAAAUCCGUGUAACAGAUAAGAGCAUUAUACAACGGCGUAACCGGGAAAGGUUGUAGUACCAUUCCUCACACAGUGAGUACAUAGACGUAACAUAAGACAAAAAAUCCCGGUAACAUAAAACAACAUC